RNAcentral lists this transfer RNA (72 nucleotides) under Fukomys damarensis (Damara mole-rat). It matches the Rfam family "tRNA". Rfam says of the family: Transfer RNA (tRNA) molecules are approximately 80 nucleotides in length. Their secondary structure includes four short double-helical elements and three loops (D, anti-codon, and T loops). Lineage: Eukaryota; Metazoa; Chordata; Mammalia; Rodentia; Bathyergidae. The record is from Rfam by way of RNAcentral.
UGGGAUGUGGCUCAGUGGUAGAGCACUUACCUGGCAUGCAUGAGGUGCUGGGUUCGAUCCUCAGUACCGUAA